This 1666-nucleotide long non-coding RNA is filed under the name Homo sapiens (human). RNAcentral describes it as "HSALNT0038785". Lineage: Eukaryota; Metazoa; Chordata; Mammalia; Primates; Hominidae. The record is from RNAcentral.
CUUUUGAGAAGUGUCUGUUCAUAUCCUUUGCCCACUUUUUGAUGGGGUUGUUUUUUUCUUGUAAAUUUGUUUAAGUUCUUUGUAGAUUCUGGAUAUUAGCCCUUUGUCAGAUGGGUAGAUUGCAAAAAUGUUCUCCCAUUCUGUAGGUUGCCUGUUCACUCUGAUGGUAGUUUCUUUUGCCAUGCAGAAGCUCUUUUAUUUAAUUAGGUCACAUUUGUCAGUUUUGGCUUUUGUUGCCAUUGCUUUUGGUGUUUUAGUCAUGGAUUCCUUGCCCAUGCCUAUAUUCUGAAUGGUAUUGCCUAGGUUUUCUUCUAUGGUUUUUAUGGUUUUAGGUCUAACGUUUAAGUCUUUAAUCCAUCAUAAAUUAAUUUUUGUAUAAGGUGUAAGGAAGGGGUCCAGUUUCAGCUUUCUACAUAUGGCUAGCCAGUUUUCCCAGCACCGUUUAUUAAACAGGGAAUCCUUUCCCCAUUUCUUGUUUUUGUCAGGUUUGUCAAAGAUCAGAUGGUUGUAGAUGUGUGGUGUUAUUUCUGAGGCCUCUGUUCUGUUCCAUUGAUCUAUAUCUCUGUUUUGGUACCAGUACCAUGCUGUUUUGGUUACUGUAGCCUUGUAGUAUAGUUUGAAGUCAGGUAGCAUGAUGCCUCCAGCUUUGUUCUUUUUGCUUAGGAUUGUCUUGGCAAUGUGGGCUCUUUUUUGGUUCCAUAUGAACUUUAAAGUAGUUUUUUCCAAUUCUGGGUAGAAAGUCAUUGUUAGCUUGAUGGGGACGGCAUUGAAUCUAUAAAUUACCUUGGGCAGUAUGGCCAUUUUCACGAUAUUGAUUCUUCCUAUCCAUGAGCAUGGAAUGUUCUUCCAGUUGUUUGUGUCCUCUUUUAUUUCUGAGCAGUGGUUUGUAGUUCUCCUUGAAGAGGUCCUUCACAUGCCUUUACCCAGGUAUUUUAUUCUCUUUGAAGCAAUUGUGAAUGGGAGUUCACUCAUGAUUUGGCUCUCUGUCUGUUAUUGGUUUAUAGGAAUGCUUGUGAUUUUUACACAUUGAUUUUUGUAUCCUGAGACUUUGCUGAAGUUGCUUAUCAGCUUAGGUGAUUUUGGGCUCAGCAGUCCUUGAGCCCAGGAUAUGGUGGUCUGAUUGUUGGUUGCACAGAUAUUUCUAAUUCUUCCCUUCAUUGCAGACAAAGUUUUGUUUUUUUUUCACUUGAAACUUUAAAACUCUAAACUUGUAAAUAGAACUUUUUCAGCCUCUGUUCCUGUCUAGAAAACCUGGUCCCCUGGUUUCAAGUAGUGCAUCUGACUGUUGUUCACCGCCUCCUCACAUGAGGUGUUUUGGUUUUCAUUUUCCCCAGUGCUGGAUUUUUGACCCUGGUGCCUGUUUUCACUCUCAGCCCUUCACGUGCCCCCUCGCUUGAGCCACACUGCAUUACAAGGAGUUGAUCACUUGUUUUAGAAAGGGCUGAAUAUCCCACUUGACUUGUCUCUUAAUUACUGUAUUGAUCCAUAUAAAGUCAACUUUUCCCCAUUUCUAGCUCAUCAUUUAUAGAUAUAAGAACCAUCUUACUUGUAAUCAUUGAAACAUACUUUAAAUUACAAAAAGUCCACUUCUAAUUUAACAAUUUCCCCUUUCCCCAUUCUCAAAAUGUACAGUGGUGCAGUGGUGAAUGGGGAUGGGGAGUGUUCG